UUGGAGGGCAAGUCUGGUGCCAGCAGCCGCGGUAAUUCCAGCUCCAAUAGCGUAUAUUAAAGUUGUUGCAGUUAAAAAGCUCGUAGUUGAAUUUCGGGAUCAAUGUUUCGGUCAUGCCGUUGGUAUGCACUGUUAUCAUUGAUUUCUCACCUUCUAAAGAACCGUAAUGCCAUUAAUUUGGUGUUACGGGGAAUUAGGACUGUUACCUUGAAAAAAUUAGAGUGUUUAGAGCAGGCUCACGCUUGAAUACAUUAGCAUGGAAUAAUGAAAUAGGACAUCCGAUUCUAUUUUGUUGGUUUCUAGGAUCGAUGUAAUGAUUAAUAGGGAUAGUUGGGGGCACUAGUAUUCAAUUGUCAGAGGUGAAAUUCUUGGAUUUAUUGAAGACUAACUACUGCGAAAGCAUUUGUCAAGGAUGUUUUCAUUAAUCAAGAACGAAAGUUAGGGGAUCGAAGACGAUCAGAUACCGUCGUAGUCUUAACCAUAAACUAUGCCGACUAGGGAUCGGAUGAUGUUAAUUUUUUAAUGACUCAUUCGGCGCCUUACGGGAAAC
RNAcentral lists this ribosomal RNA (550 nucleotides) under Funneliformis mosseae. RNAcentral describes it as "SSU rRNA". It matches the Rfam family "Eukaryotic small subunit ribosomal RNA", at positions 548 to 1098 of the family's 1831-position model. The record is from RNAcentral. Lineage: Eukaryota; Fungi; Glomeromycota; Glomeromycetes; Glomerales; Glomeraceae.